Molecule: ribosomal RNA, 321 nt
Filed under: Triticum aestivum (bread wheat)
Lineage: Eukaryota; Viridiplantae; Streptophyta; Magnoliopsida; Poales; Poaceae
Description: partial small subunit ribosomal RNA
Source: RNAcentral
AUGAUGUUUGAGCAUGUACUUUUUUUGAGUGUCUAUUUAUUUUCGAUUGUUAUCUAUGGAUUGAUCACAAGCCGAAACAUGGUUAGAGCUCUAAUAUGUCUUGAACUUAUACUGAAUUCAAUUAAUCUAAAUAUCGUAACAUUUUCUAAUCUAUUUGAUAGUCGCCAAUUAAAAGGAGAUAUUUUCGCAAUUUUUGUUAUAGCCCUUGCGGCUGCUGAAGCCGCUAUUGGACUAUCCAUUCUUUCUUCCAUCCAUCGUAAUAGGAAAUCCACUCGUAUCAAUCAAUCUAAUUUAUUGAAUAAUUCUAGCAAUUGCCAAUAA